Chrysemys picta bellii (western painted turtle) is the source of this 2769-nucleotide non-coding RNA. Lineage: Eukaryota; Metazoa; Chordata; Testudines; Emydidae. The record is from RefSeq and is a predicted model, not a curated record.
CCGGGAGCGCCAAUGGGCGCCGUCCCCGGCCGGGGGUGGGCGCGGCUGGCAGGAGACUGAGCAAAGGCGGAAGCCUGGGGCGCGCUGUCGGGGCCGUGCGCCGCGGCCGGAGCUGCUUGUGGGACCAUGUCUGUCGGCAGGAGGCAAGUGUUCAUAGGGAAAGUACUGAAGAGGCUCUUUGCUGCUACUCCCUCCACUUCUUAUAUGCCUGUUCCAAGUGGAGAAGAGAUGGUACUAAAAACUCCUGCCUCAAAACCACAGCAGAAGGAUUCUGAGAAUGCUCAGGCUUCAUCAGAAUGUGCCAGUUCCCCAGGUAGGGAAAAUGAAAUCCUGCUUCCAAGGUUAUACACAGUAAGUCUCCCUCCUGAAGGCUACAUCCCAGAUAAUCCAAGAACAGAUAGUCCCACAAAUGCUGAAAACUCAGAGAGUAGUGAUGAUGCAGCAGAGGAGGAUUCUCACGGACAACCCAAGAGAAGGCGCAUUCGAAGGAAGAAACGAAAGAACACUGUUGGAAAUCCUGAUAAUUUACAUGGAGAACAAACAGAAUCUGGGAAGCAUGAGACUCUGUUUCAAGAUAAUUUACAGCUGCAGCAGACAGACGGCACAAAAGUUAGCAAAAACAAAAAGAGGAAAAUGAAAAAGAAACGACAAAAAGAAAAGAUGAAAGCAGCUGGCAUGCUAACAAAAACCACUGGUGUGGAUUUUACAUAUCAGCCUGAGAAGGACAACAGUGAAAGAGCAGACUUUAAAGACAUAUAUGAAAAAGCAGAUGGCAUUCUGGACUUCUUGCAGGCAACACAAGAAAUCUAUUUUGCUGACAAUAAAUCAAAAUGCACAGAUUCACCUAUGAGUUCAGCAACCGUCCAAGAGAUUUUACAACAUCUUGAAUCUCACAGCAUGGCUUCCUCAGAUGUGACACUUCUACAUCAGAUGAAAUCCCUUGUACUUUUGCAGGAUACUGAGAGAUUGAAGGGCAUUUUGGAACAAUUCCAAGAACAUUCCAUGAUGCUGCCUGAUCAUGCCAAGAUAAUCUCUUCUCUGUUCCACUACUGGAUUACAGAUAUCCUUCCCGUGAAGAACAGGAAAUAAGGCAUGUGUGUGUGUCCAUCUGUGCAGAGUUAAAAUUUAAUAUACAAACUGUAAGCUGAAUAGCGAAUGUUCAGAAAUAGCAGUGUACAUGCUGUAUAUUCAGCAAGGAUCCCACCUCAUUCAGUGCACGGGAUGGACCCCUCUGGGGAUCAAUCAAGGUGGUUUUGCAGAAGUGGGAAGAUGUGCAGUGAAGGAAGCAGGGUAUUGUUGAAAGAGAAAGGAUUGCCUCCUGGUUAAGGCAGCUGAAUGCUGCCUUGGAGAACUGGAUUUUUUACUGCCUCUGCCACAGAGUUCUUAUGCUAGGCAAGUCACUUAAAUCAAACUUUUCACAGGUGGUCACUAAUUUCGUUCUUCGUUUUCUGUUUACCUGACUUGAGAGGCUGGGGUCUGUUUUGCAGAAAUGUUGAGUACUCACAGCUCCAAACAUCCGCAGAGCUACUUCAUUGUCCUUCAAAUCCCUCCAUAAAACUCUUCUUUCCUGUGAGGCCUACAAACUUGACAGUUUAAUUAUGCUGACCAAAAUUAUCUAAUUGUUUCCUUGUACUCCCCUGUCGGUCUGUCUGCUCCAUUGAUUAACUCUUGUUGCAUACUUACAUUGUAAGCUCUUUGGGGCAGGGACUUUCUUUUCUGUGUUUGCACAGUGCCCAGCACAAUGAAGUUCAAGUCCAUGACGAGCUCCUAAGCACUAUUGCAAUACAUAUAAUGAUGGUGAUAAGUGAAUGUAUAAAGUGCUAUACAAUGCUAAGCACCUGGAAAAGUCAGGCACUGGGUAUCUCAGAUUGGGCACCCAAAAUCAGUUGACGCUUCUGACCUUGAUCUCCUGUGCCUCAGUUCCCCACACCUUCACAUCACAAGGGUGUUGUGAACAUUCGUGAAUGUUUGUGAAGUAGUUGGAUGCUAUAGUGAGAAGCACCAUAGAAAAGGAAAUUAAUAAUUAUUUUUUCAGAGCAGGGUUUGAAUAGUGCGCAGCAAAUAAGGCAGGUAUUGCACCGCACAUUGAAAAACGAGGAGAAAACAAAAUAUUGAAUAGCUGCUCAUUAAGUGAGCACUGUCCAUCCUGUGCACUGAAUGAGGCAGGGGUACUAAGCACAAUAUACUUCGUGUUCAUGUAAUUAAAAACUAUAUAAUAAAGAACAUGCACAAAGGGGCCAAAUUAAGGUUGCAUGAGCAAGCAGCUUUAAUUUGGCUGCUUGCACUUUGGCAGCACAAAGGAAAGGAGAAUUAGUCAGUGCUGCUGGCAGCACACCCCAGGCAUGUUGGGACUGGAUGGGGUGUGGUCCAUAGUUCCUAUCCAUUCACUAACAUUCUGUUGCUGGCAAGACAGGCCCGUUACAGUGUAAGAGGGUGGAGAUCACUAAGUGAUUCAUAGAAUCAUAGAAUAUCAGAGUUGGAAGGGACCUCAAGAGGUCAUCUAGUCCAACCCCCUGCUCAAAGCAGGACCAAUUCCCAGCUAAAUCAUCCCACUGAUUGGAAGGGGUUGAGAUGUAUAAUAGAAAUGGUUUCAUAUCCAUUCCUCCCAGUGCUGGGACCUAUUUUAUUGUAUUGUUCCAGAUGGAAGAACGUUGUAUUAAUAAUGGUAGAACAUUGAUUAAUGUAGUUGAUCUUCCACAAACAUCUUCUCUGUACUGUAAUAUUCAUUUUUAAUUACCGUAUAUACUCAUUCAUAAGCCGAAUUUAUUU